AGAGUUUGAUUCUGGCUCAGGAUGAACGCUAGCGACAGGCUUAACACAUGCAAGUCGAGGGGCAGCAUAAAAGUAGCAAUACUUGGUGGCGACCGGCGCACGGGUGAGUAACGCGUAUGCAACCUACCUAUCAGGAGGGGAAUAACCCGGCGAAAGUCGGACUAAUACCGCAUAAAACAGGGGCACCGCAUGGUGAUAUUUGUUAAAGAAAUUCGCUGAUAGAUGGGCAUGCGUUCCAUUAGGUAGUUGGUGAGGUAACGGCUCACCAAGCCGACGAUGGAUAGGGGAACUGAGAGGUUGGUCCCCACACUGGUACUGAGACACGGACCAGACUCCUACGGGAGGCAGCAGUGAGGAAUAUUGGUCAAUGGGCGAGAGCCUGAACCAGCCAAGUCGCGUGAAGGAAGAAGGAUCUAUGGUUCGUAAACCUCUUUUGCAGGGGAAUAAAGUGCAGGACGUGUCCUGUUUUGUAUGUACCCUGAGAAUAAGGAUCGGCUAACUCCGUGCCAGCAGCGGC
Molecule: ribosomal RNA, 517 nt
Filed under: uncultured bacterium
Lineage: Bacteria
Description: bacterial SSU rRNA
Rfam family: Bacterial small subunit ribosomal RNA
Source: RNAcentral